RNAcentral lists this ribosomal RNA (470 nucleotides) under Psathyrella sp. Its description in RNAcentral is "partial large subunit ribosomal RNA". It matches the Rfam family "Eukaryotic large subunit ribosomal RNA", at positions 186 to 664 of the family's 3401-position model. Lineage: Eukaryota; Fungi; Basidiomycota; Agaricomycetes; Agaricales; Psathyrellaceae. The record is from RNAcentral.
UCUCCUGGAAUGGAGCGUCAUAGAGGGUGAGAAUCCCGUCUUUGACACGGACUACCGAGGCUUUGUGGUGCGCUCUCAAAGAGUCGAGUUGUUUGGGAAUGCAGCUCAAAAUGGGUGGUAAAUUCCAUCUAAAGCUAAAUAUUGGCGAGAGACCGAUAGCGAACAAGUACCGUGAGGGAAAGAUGAAAAGAACUUUGGAAAGAGAGUUAAACAGUACGUGAAAUUGCUGAAAGGGAAACGCUUGAAGUCAGUCGCGUUGACCGGAAAUCANCCUUGCUUUUGUGGGGUGUACUUUCUGGUUGACGGGCCAGCAUCAGUUUUGACCGGUGGAAAAAGUCUGGAGGAAUGUGGCAUCUUCGGAUGUGUUAUAGCCUCUAGUUGUAUACAUCGGUUGGGACUGAGGAACUCAGCACUUGUGCUUAGGAUGCUGGCAUAAUGGCUUUAAUCGACCCGUCUUGGAAACACGGGAC